AUCAUCAAUAGUUUAAGUAACAAUUCACCCUAUUACCUACUACUGGCUUAUUACCUGCCUAUUGUUACCUAUUAAAGUAUGAUCCGAUACAUAAGCUCAAAUAUUACCUAUAGUGGUCUCAAACUCAAUUCCUUGAGGCCCACUGCUCUGCACUGUUGAGCUCCAACCAACUCCAACUCACACCUGCUUAAUAGUGUCUAGUAGUUUUGAACAACUUGAUUAGUUGGAUCAGCUGUUUGAUUAAGGUUGGAGCAAAACUGUGCAGAGCUGCGGCCCUCCAGGAAUUGAGUUAGAGACAUGAGCCUUAUAGCAAAAUUAACAAUCAGCUAAUUAUUAAGUUAUACAGUCUUAGUUAAUGGUUUGUUAAUGGUGUGAUUUGUGCAUUGCAAUAAAGUGUUACAUAUAGGCUAUCUAAAUAGGCAUGUUAUAAUAUGUAAUGUAAAUAUUAAAGGUUUUAAACUUAAUACAUUUAAUCUAAUAUAUUUGUGUAUAUUUCAAGUGUAUGAACAAUUCUUUACAGGACAUAUUGUAAGUUUGACACUGUGUAAACAAGAUAUUAUUAUGAUUGGCCCAAACAGACUGAGCUGAACAGAGUGUUCCAGCCGGGACGGACUGCAUACGUUCCAGCAUCAGUUCGGGAGGAGGUCCCUUUAAGUUUCCAUUGAGGGAGGCCGCACUAUGUCACAUGAUGGACAUGAUAUAAUGAAACAGCGAACAGAAAACCAAGUGCGUGCGUGUGUGUGUGUCCAUGACUACAAAAUAAGACUGUAAAGCAACGCAGUCGUCCUGUAAACGCCCCGUUUCCAGAGUUGUGGAGCAGGAGUGUUUCCAACAUCAGCCGGUGAUGGUGUUUGGUGUUGCGCGGACCGGACUGCACCUGCUGCCGCGCAUAAUAAGCUGCGCACUUCGCAGAAAUGCGGACGCGUGAAGUUAUUUGCGGCUUCUUCAUAUGAUGUUACCGCAAACUCCUCGCGCACUUAUGAAAGCUGCAGAAAUGUGGAUUGUUGUGAAGAACAGCUCUUAAAGUAAGUGUGUACGACAAUGCCUCAGGCUAUUGGAAAUGUAUGUGCGUGUAUUAGAAAUAAAGCAACGGGUUUCUUGUUGCCAAGAGGAGGUAUCUUUUGAUGAUGUGCCACAUGUAAUGCGCUUUCACUCAACCAAACCUUGCCAACGUCCGCAUUCCGGUCUCUGUUGCGCAGAUUAAAAUCCAAAGUUGUUGGUGAACGUGUGAGAUUUUAGUCCUGGAUGAAAUAUGCGACUGCUGUCUAAUUUAAAACCUCUCAGCUGCGGAGCACUUCUGUUUUAAAGAACAACAUCACGCCCCCCUGAGUGCGCAGUAACGUUAGGAUGUCACGGCAACCGAAUAUAACCUAUGUCCUCGUACACAGCUCCAGCCGACUUUAGCCUUUAUUAUUGACGAUAAACUGAAUAAAUCGAGGCGUGAGGCUUGCAGAAACGCGCGAGAGAGGGAAAGGAGCAAACACUCUCGCACUUUCAGAAGUUGCGCUGUUAUUUCAGUACCAUCGUCAUCGUCAUUACACAAGAUAAAGCGGAACAGGAGCGAUAUGAAGCAAAACUUGACAGAAAGGGAGAGCCGGCUCGAUGCCUGUCACAAACACCACUUCAUGUUCAGCAUGACUGGAUGGAUUGAGGAAGACAGAGUGGAGAAAGACAGAGUACAUCUGUAUUGGUGUUCCCAGGGCAGGUGGAUGGGGGCGAUGGAAGGAUGCCUGUUUGUUGUUAAUUGCUGUGAAUGAGGCCCAUGGGAUGAACCAGAAAUGCAGGCCACUGAGCAGAACUGCACUUGGACCUGGUAAGUCGCACCUGUCAGUAAUUACAAUUUGUUGGAUGGGUUUAUGAGCAGGUUUACAUUUAAGUUCAGCUCUGUUAUUUGAACUGGAAGUAUUUAAAUAUAAACGAGUCUGAUUCCUGUUUUUAAGCACUUUUCAAAGGAAAUAUUUCCUCUUUGAUGAUGUUAUUAAAAUUGUUAUUCACAAACAUUAGCAGCACUUUAAAAAAAUAUUUUUUUUUUUUCAAAUGUUGUAUGCAAACCACAUUAUAACUUCGAAAGUUAUACACUUAUACAGCACCAUUACAAAGUUACUAGGGCUGGUCUGAUAAACGAUAUUAUAUUAAAUCGCAAAUCGAUAACAACGAUAAGCUCUGGGCUUUUUGCUCUAUAUUGAUCUAAGAGCCAAUCACACAGCAGAAAUGUGCAACAAUGGGAAUCUAAAAGUGUGUUAACAUUACAAAUGUACCGAAUUUUUGACAAAAAUUAUCGGCCACCAAAAAUGUUAAUAUAUGCCAUUUAAUGGACUCUCUAAUUUCCGUGGCUUCAGUCUUUGUUGGGAUACUCUUUUAAAUCUGGAAGCAUUAACAACUCAUAUCGAAACAUAUAUCAUUAUCGUUCAGGAUGGAAAAGAAUUAUCGAGAUUGCAUUUUUGCCAUAUCGCCCAGCCCUACUAGUUAAUGUAAUUAGAUUAUUUCCACACAAAGAAUUACUGUUCAUUUUCAGUUUAUUUAAUUACAGUGACUUUAUAUAAUGUCCUUGUACACAAAUUCGACAAUUCUGGAUCAGUUAAUUAAAUGAAGCAAAGGAAUUAAUUUAUCAAGUAGAUUGAACAUGUUUGAGAAACAAUGAAUGAAAUGUAUGUCAAUAUGCACAAAAUAUAGUGACAUUGCUUUGAAAUAAUUUGUGUUUUGAUGCAUAUAAUGCUUAUCAUUUUUAAAGUUUUUCAUUUUUAAUAAAAAUAAAAUGUCCUGUUUGGCUCUGAUUUCAGCAACAUGAGCUCAUUCUAAAAUGUAGCCCUAUAUACAUUUCUGGAGAUUGCGAAUUAUGUAGCCUGGAGUACGUA
Molecule: non-coding RNA, 2855 nt
Organism: Danio rerio (zebrafish)
Lineage: Eukaryota; Metazoa; Chordata; Actinopteri; Cypriniformes; Danionidae
Source: RefSeq, a predicted model, not a curated record